UACGUAGGGGGCAAGCGUUGUUCGGAAUUACUGGGCGUAAAGCGCGUGUAGGCGGGUCUUUAAGUCAGGGGUGAAAUGCCAGGGCUCAACCUUGGAACUGCCUUUGAUACUGGAGACCUUGAGUCCGGGAGAGGUGAGUGGAAUUGCGAGUGUAGAGGUGAAAUUCGUAGAUAUUCGCAAGAACACCAGUGGCGAAGGCGGCUCACUGGCCCGGAACUGACGCUGAGACGCGAAAGCGUGGGGAGCAAACAGG
RNAcentral lists this ribosomal RNA (253 nucleotides) under uncultured bacterium. RNAcentral describes it as "partial 16S ribosomal RNA". It matches the Rfam family "Bacterial small subunit ribosomal RNA", at positions 524 to 776 of the family's 1533-position model. The record is from RNAcentral.